CCCUUAGAUGUCCUGGGCCGCACGCGCGCUACACUGAACGGAUCAGCGCGUUUUCCCUUCCCGAGAGGGACGGGUAACCUGCUGAACCCCGUUCGUGGUAGGGAUCGGGGCUUGCAAUUAUUCCCCGUGAACCAGGAAUGCCCAGUAAGUGCAAGUCAUAAGCUUGCGUUGAUUACGUCCCUGCCCUUUGUACACACCGCCCGUCGCUACUACCGAUUGAACGUUUUAGUGAGGUACUCGGUCUGAGCCUCAGAAGAUUCACGUCUUUUGUGCUGCUCGGGAAGAUUCCCAAACUUGAGCGUUUAGAGGAAGUAAAAGUCGUAACA
This 326-nucleotide ribosomal RNA is filed under the name uncultured eukaryote. RNAcentral's name for it is "partial 18S ribosomal RNA". It matches the Rfam family "Eukaryotic small subunit ribosomal RNA", at positions 1470 to 1796 of the family's 1831-position model. The record is from RNAcentral.